Molecule: non-coding RNA, 1236 nt
Organism: Castor canadensis (American beaver)
Lineage: Eukaryota; Metazoa; Chordata; Mammalia; Rodentia; Castoridae
Source: RefSeq, a predicted model, not a curated record
AUGGCGGCGGCGGCGGCCGUGGUGUCCGGUGCAGGCGCGGGGGGCCCGGGCACGGCAGGGGGUGGCGGCGGGGCGCGCGAGGGCGCGCGGGUGGCAGCGCUGUGCCUGCUGUGGUACGCGCUGAGCGCGGGCGCAACGUGGUCAAUAAGGUGAUCCUGAGCGCCUUCCCGAUCCCCGUGACCGUGUCGCUGUGCCACAUCCUGGCGCUGUGUGCCGGGCUCCCUCCGCUGCUGCGCGCCUGGCCUGGCGUGUGCCCCCGCGCCGCCUGUGUCGGGCCCUGGGCCCGGCCCGCAUCCGUCGUCCUGCCCGCUGCUGCCGCCGCGCUUUUACCCGCGCUACCUGCUGCCGCUCGCCUUGGGCAAGUACUUCGCGUCCCUGUCGGCGCACGUCAGCAUCUGGAAGGUGCCAGUGUCCUACGCGCACACCGUCAAGGCCACCAUGCCCAUCUGGGUGGUCCUGCUGUCCCGGAUCAUCAUGAAGGAGAAGCAGAGCACCAAGGUGUACCUGUCCCUCAUCCCCAUCAUCAGUGGCGUCCUACUGGCUGCCGUCACCGAGCUGUCGUUCGACAUGUGGGGACUCAUCAGCGCCCUCGUGGCCACGCUCUGCUUCUCACUGCGGAACAUCUUCUCCAAGAAGGUGUUGGGAGACUCUCGGAUCCACCACCUGCGGCUGCUGAACAUUCUGGGCUUUCACGCCGUCUUCUUCAUGAUCCCCACGUGGGUUCUGGUGGACCUCUCGGCUUUCCUGGUCAGCAGCGACUUGACGUACGUGUCCCAGUGGCCCUGGACGCUCCUGCUUCUGGCUGUCAGCGGCUUCUGUAACUUCGCCCAGAAUGUCAUCGCCUUCAGCAUCCUCAACCUCAUCAGCUCCCUGAGCUACUCUGUCGCCAAUGCCACCAAGAGAAUCAUGGUCAUCACGGUGUCCCUCAUCAUGCUGCGCAACCCGGUCACCAGCACCAACGUCCUGGGCAUGAUGACGGCCAUCUUGGGCGACUUCCUCUACAACAAGACCAAAUAUGAUGCAAACCACCAAGCCCGGAGACACCUCCUCCCUGUCUCCACGGCACCUGGGCAGCAAGGAGCAUCUGCGGAGCCGCUGCAGAAGCCCCACAACCGCAUCCUCUUCCCCCAGCAUGGUGACUAUUAGUAUGGCCGCAGCAGCGUCCUGACGGAUCACUUUCAGUACAGCCGCCAGAGCCACCCGAACUCAUACACCCUGAACAGCUUCGACGUGUAG